Molecule: transfer RNA, 73 nt
Filed under: Mycetomoellerius zeteki
Lineage: Eukaryota; Metazoa; Arthropoda; Insecta; Hymenoptera; Formicidae
Description: Trachymyrmex zeteki tRNA
Rfam family: tRNA
About the family: Transfer RNA (tRNA) molecules are approximately 80 nucleotides in length. Their secondary structure includes four short double-helical elements and three loops (D, anti-codon, and T loops).
Source: Rfam by way of RNAcentral
GUCUCGGUAGUCUAAAGGCUUAGGACGCUCGCACGGAAUGCAAGAGAUCCGGGUUCGAGUCCCGGCCGAGGCA